RNAcentral lists this ribosomal RNA (563 nucleotides) under Chelon ramada (thin-lipped mullet). RNAcentral's name for it is "partial 16S ribosomal RNA". It matches the Rfam family "Bacterial large subunit ribosomal RNA", at positions 1837 to 2597 of the family's 2925-position model. The record is from RNAcentral. Lineage: Eukaryota; Metazoa; Chordata; Actinopteri; Mugiliformes; Mugilidae.
AACUACACAUAAGAGGUCCUGCCUGCCCUGUGACCCCUGGUUCAACGGCCGCGGUAUGUUGACCGUGCAAAGGUAGCGCAAUCACUUGUCUCUUAAAUGAGGACCUGUAUGAAUGGCACGACGAGGGCUUAACUGUCUCCUUUCCCCGGUCAGUGAAAUUGAUCUUCCCGUGCAGAAGCGGGAAUCCUAACAUAAGACGAGAAGACCCUAUGGAGCUUUAGACUUCAGAACAGAUCAUGUAAGCUACCCCCGUGAAAUAGGUAAUAACUAUUGAAUUUCUGUUCCCCUGUCUUUGGUUGGGGCGACCACGGGGAAGAAAAAAACCCCCAUGUGGACCAGGAGCACAUUACUCCUACAACCAUGAGCCACAGCUCUAAUGCACAAAAUUUUUGACCAUUAGAUCCGGCAAAGCCGAUCAACGGACCAAGUUACCCUAGGGAUAACAGCGCAAUCCCCUUUAAGAGUCCAUAUCGACAAGGGGGUUUACGACCUCGAUGUUGGAUCAAGACAUCCUAAUGGUGCAGCCGCUAUUAAGGGUUCGUUUGUUCAACGAUUAAAGUCUU